Pezoporus flaviventris is the source of this 1238-nucleotide long non-coding RNA. RefSeq lists it as uncharacterized. The record is from RefSeq and is a predicted model, not a curated record. The transcript is spliced from 3 exons. NCBI's taxonomy places the organism in Eukaryota, Metazoa, Chordata, Aves, Psittaciformes, Psittacidae.
AACACCCUUGCCUCUUCUAAUAGUUCCAGCAUUGCUUUCCAGGAGUGUGGCUCAUCUACAGCAUUGAGACAGAGCCCUAUGGCAGGAAGGCUGCAGAGUCCUGCCAUGUCAGAAGGAGAAGGGAGGUCACUGGGCAACCCUUACUCAUGGGGAGUGUGCGCUCAUUGCAGCAUCAGACCUGCCUCUUUCCUUCUCUUGACCUGCACAGACCAGGAGCAGUCCUUGAGUGCUGUACCUGGGAUGUUGCAGAUGGAGCCACAUGCCUGUAAAACAGUUCUAAUUGAAAAGAGGCUGCCACUGCUUCCCAAACAAUUGAAAACCGCACAAAACCAAACUUGGGGUUAGAACUCCCUCUUUGACUUUGGUUCAACACUGUCAGCUGGAAAACUUCCAUCCAGAGGCUGAUGUCGUCAUUACGAAUUGUCAGUUCCUAGUAUCACAGCUAAUGCUCUGGUGGUUUUGUUAGAAAGACAGUUGCUGUAGUGGCAGCAGCUAAUUGUUCUUUGGAUUUGUCUUUCAUUGUAGAAUUUUAUGAAUAAGUUUGUAAGUGAACUUGAACCCUAUUUGAGUCACUUGGGUUUGUCCCCUCUUGCUGCUAGCUUUAUUCCCAGGUUAAACCAUCUGUCUAACAAAAAGUACCUGUUUCCAGAAAUAGCUAAGGGGCACUAAGAAAAGCGUUUGACACUAAAAUAGAGCAGUAAAAGUACAGUAUUGGCAGCCUUAGGUUUCAGAAAUGCUUUCACUGUAUUAUCGUCAGCUUUUCCAAAAGCUGCAGUAGCCUCUGGUGACCUGUCUGCAAACACUUCCAUUUCAAAGAAUAAUAAGUGAGGUUAUCCUUUGUCAGUUCUCUUUCAACAUGCUCUUAGGAAAAUAGCAGAAUGUCUCAUCAGACAAAUGAAAAGCAAGGAGAAGUAUAAAGGAAUGUUACCAAUAGGCAACAAUGUAAUUGCUGAAUGGGGAUGAUACUGCUUAUAAUUCUGGUUUUCCUGCAGUUGUCUUCAAUCCCAGAAGCCUCAUUUUCAGCAGGAUCAAACCCCUGCACUAUUCAACAGUUUUCCCUUUAGUAUAGGAGGUAAUUUACCAUUUCAGUUGGCCUCGCAGUGACUGAAAUAUUUAGGGGAUUUGUGUAGUGACAGAAAUAGAUAAGAUGUUUGAGGCAAACGGCUUAGUUCUGUUUUGGAAAAUCUCCAUGGGAUUUAAGAGGAUGCACUGAUGUAAUACAAUUGGUGGGUUUAUUA